Molecule: ribosomal RNA, 710 nt
Filed under: Scaptia alpina alpina
Lineage: Eukaryota; Metazoa; Arthropoda; Insecta; Diptera; Tabanidae
Description: eukaryotic LSU rRNA
Rfam family: Eukaryotic large subunit ribosomal RNA
Source: RNAcentral
AUGCCUCGUCAUCUAAUUAGUGACGCGCAUGAAUGGAUUAACGAGAUCCCUACUGUCCCUAUCUACUAUCUAGCGAAACCACAGCCAAGGGAACGGGCUUGGAAUAAUUAGCGGGGAAAGAAGACCCUGUUGAGCUUGACUCUAGUCUGGCAGUGUAAGGAGACAUAAGAGGUGUAGCAUAAGUGGGAGAUAUAUUGGUUUCGGCUAAAUAUAUCAAAAAUGAAAUACCACUACUCUUAUUGUUUCCUUACUUACUUGAUAAAAUGGAACGUGUAUCAUUCACUUAGCCAUUACAUGGAUAUAUUUAUAUAUUUUAUGGUAUUUUGUUUUGAUGCGAGCUUCUUGUUUAAAGUACCAAGAGUUUGUUAUAUACACCAAACAAAUAUCAAUUAAAUUUACUUAUUAUUAAUAAUGAUUUGUUAAAUUAUAAUUGAAUUUGGUAUAACUAUUAUACUUAGGUAUGAUCCAAUUCAAGGACAUUGCCAGGUGGGGAGUUUGACUGGGGCGGUACAUCUCUCAAAUAAUAACGGAGGUGUCCCAAGGCCAGCUCAGUGCGGACAGAAACCACACAUAGAGCAAAAGGGCAAAUGCUGACUUGAUCUCGGUGUUCAGUACAUACAGAGACAGCAAAAGCUCGGCCUAUCGAUCCUUUUGGUUUAAAGAGUUUUUAACAAGAGGUGUCAGAAAAGUUACCACAGGGAUAACUGGCU